GACGAACGCUGGCGGCGUGCUUAACACAUGCAAGUCGAACGGAAAGGCCCUGCUUUUGUGGGGUGCUCGAGUGGCGAACGGGUGAGUAACACGUGAGUAACCUGCCCUUGACUUUGGGAUAACUUCAGGAAACUGGGGCUAAUACCGGAUAGGAGCUCCUGCUGCAUGGUGGGGGUUGGAAAGUUUCGGCGGUUGGGGAUGGACUCGCGGCUUAUCAGCUUGUUGGUGGGGUAGUGGCUUACCAAGGCUUUGACGGGUAGCCGGCCUGAGAGGGUGACCGGCCACAUUGGGACUGAGAUACGGGCCAGACUCCUACGGGAGGCAGCAGUGGGGAAUAUUGCACAAUGGGCGGAAGCCUGAUGCAGCAACGCCGCGGGCGGGAUGACGGCCUUCGGGGUGGAAACCGCUUUCGCCUGUGACGAAGCGUGAGUGACGGUAAUGGGUAAAGAAGCACCGGCUAACUACGUG
RNAcentral lists this ribosomal RNA (468 nucleotides) under uncultured bacterium. Its description in RNAcentral is "partial 16S ribosomal RNA". It matches the Rfam family "Bacterial small subunit ribosomal RNA", at positions 28 to 507 of the family's 1533-position model. The record is from RNAcentral.